CCUACGGGUGGCAGCAGUAGGGAAUCUUCCACAAUGGGCGAAAGCCUGAUGGAGCAACGCCGCGUGGGUGAAGAAGGUCUUCGGAUCGUAAAACCCUGUUGUUAGAGAAGAAAGUUCGUGAGAGUAACUGUUCACGUUUCGACGGUAUCUAACCAGAAAGCCACGGCUAACUACGUGCCAGCAGCCGCGGUAAUACGUAGGGGGCAAGCGUUAUCCGGAUUUAUUUGGCGUAAAGGGAACGCAGGCGGUCUCUUAAGUCUGAUGGGAAAGCCUUCGGCUUAACCGGAGUAGUGCAUUGGAAACUGGGAGACUUGAGUGCAGAAGAGGAGAGUGGAACUCCAUGUGUAGCGGUGGAAUGCGUAGAUAUAUGGGAGGACACCAGUGGCGAAAGCGGCUCUCUGGUCUGUAACUGACGCUGAGGUUCGAAAGCGUGGGUAGCAAACAGGAUUUAGAUACCCGUGUAGUC
This 466-nucleotide ribosomal RNA is filed under the name uncultured bacterium. RNAcentral describes it as "partial 16S ribosomal RNA". It matches the Rfam family "Bacterial small subunit ribosomal RNA", at positions 338 to 795 of the family's 1533-position model. The record is from RNAcentral.